This 325-nucleotide long non-coding RNA is filed under the name Rattus norvegicus (Norway rat). Its description in RNAcentral is "long non-coding RNA NONRATT030775". Lineage: Eukaryota; Metazoa; Chordata; Mammalia; Rodentia; Muridae. The record is from RNAcentral.
GAAAGAUCUCCCAUGCUCAUGGAUUGGCAGGAUUAAUUUAGUAAAAAUGGCCAUUUUACCAAAAGCAAUCUACAGAUUCAAUGCAAUCCCCAUCAAAAUACCAAUCCAAUUCUUCAAAGAGUUAGACAGAACAAUUUGCAAAUUCAUCUGGAAUAACAAAAAACCCAGGAUAGCUAAAGCUAUCCUCAACAAUAAAAGGACUUCAGGGGGAAUCACUAUCCCUGAACUCAAGCAGUAUUACAGAGCAAUAGUGAUAAAAACUGCAUGGUAUUGGUACAGAGACAGACAGAUAUACCAAUGGAAUAGAAUUGAAGACCCAGAAAUG